This 344-nucleotide ribosomal RNA is filed under the name uncultured fungus. RNAcentral's name for it is "SSU rRNA". It matches the Rfam family "Eukaryotic small subunit ribosomal RNA", at positions 292 to 636 of the family's 1831-position model. Lineage: Eukaryota; Fungi. The record is from RNAcentral.
GGUUCAUUCAAAUUUCUGCCCUAUCAACUUUCGAUGGUAGGAUAGUGGCCUACCAUGGUUUCAACGGGUAACGGGGAAUUAGGGUUCUAUUCCGGAGAGGGAGCCUGAGAAACGGCUACCACAUCCAAGGAAGGCAGCAGGCGCGCAAAUUACCCAAUCCCGACCGGGGAGGUAGUGACAAUAAAUACUGAUACAGGGCUCUUUAGGGUCUUGUAAUUGGAAUGAGUACAAUUUAAAUCCCUUAACGAGGAACAAUUGGAGGGCAAGUCUGGUGCCAGCAGCCGGGGUAAUUCCAGCUCCAAUAGCGUAUAUUAAAGUUGUUGCAGUUAAAAAGCUCGUAGUUG